GACCUCAAAUCAGGUAAGAACACCCGCUGAACUUAAGCAUAUCAAUAAGCGGAGGAAAAGAAAAUAACAAUGAUUCCCCUAGUAACUGCGAGUGAAGAGGGAUAAGCUCAAAUUUUAAAUCUAUCGGGUUUUACCUGAUCGAGUUGUAAUUUGAAGAGGCGUUUUCUGCGUGUUUGGUCAGCCUAAGUCCUAUUGAAUGAGGCAUCAUGGAGGGUGAUAAUCCCGUCCGGUUGAUCAUUUGCGUUUUACGAUACGCUUUCUAAGAGUCAAGUUGUUUGGGAUUGCAGCUUAAAAUGGGAGGUAAAUUUCUCCUAAGGCUAAAUAACGGCGAGAGACCGAUAGCGAACAAGUACCGUGAGGGAAAGAUGAAAAGAACUUUGAAAAGAGAGUUAAACAGUACGUGAAAUUGUUGAAAGGGAAACGAUUGAAGCCAGUCGUACCUUCGGGUAAUCAGCCUUUCGGGUGCGAUUCUGUGGAGUGUGAGGAGCUUAACACCUUCAUGCUUUGCAUAUUUGUGCUCUUGGGUGUACUUGCCCGUGUGGUUGGUUAACAUCAAUUUUGGUUAUCAUAAAAUGAUUGGAGGAAUGUAGCUUCGAUCUUGUAUUGAAGUGUUAUAGCCUUCGGUAAAUGUGAUGAACGAGAUUGAGGAUUGCAACGGAUACCCUUCGGGGCUACCUGUCUGGUCUCUGAUCGUUGCUCUGGUGCCGAAAGCUUGCUUACGGUCAUCAAAGUCGAUGGUCAAUAGGUUAGAACGGGUUAAAUUCGUUAAGGAUGUUGACGUAAUGGCUUUAAACGACCCGUCUUGAAACACGGACC
RNAcentral lists this ribosomal RNA (816 nucleotides) under Rhizophagus cf. irregularis MUCL 41833. RNAcentral describes it as "eukaryotic LSU rRNA". It matches the Rfam family "Eukaryotic large subunit ribosomal RNA", at positions 1 to 667 of the family's 3401-position model. Lineage: Eukaryota; Fungi; Glomeromycota; Glomeromycetes; Glomerales; Glomeraceae. The record is from RNAcentral.